CACACACACACCCAUGCAGAUGGCUGGGAAUGGAAGGAAAGGACAACUUUUUCUGAAACCCUCUAAAGAAGAACAGAAUAUCAGCAAAAAGAACAGGAGUACUUGUGUCACCUUAGAGACUAAUUUAUUUGAGCAUCAGCUUUCCUGGGCUACAGCCCACUUCACGGGAUGCAUGCAGUGGAAAAUACACUAGGAAGAUAGAGAGAGAGAGAGAACAUGAAGGACUGUUAGUCUGCAGAUACAGACUAACACAGCUGCUAUCUGAAACAAAGGGUAUCAGUUAUUCUGAAGGACAAUUUCCAAAAACACUCUCUCCUGCUUUUAUUUAAAAGUUACUCUUUCUAUAUUCAUUUGCCAUUUAUUAUGGUAGAAUGGGCUGCAAUAGGAGAUCAGGUUGUUGAAGUAUAUGUUGGAAGGGAAGAAAAGGCUGGAAAAGCAUGAAGGACCGUUGCUGAUUCUUUAUUGUUAUUUAUCGUCAGGUUGAUAACAGGCACAGUGAUGAGUAGUUGGACCAAUACAACUGUCCACUGGGAAUUUUUACGAAACUCAUCCAGUUAAGCUGACUGUGAAACCAAAAGUUGCAAAAUUGUUGCCCACAAUCAGCAGCCUUGUAUGCCUUACCUGAUUGAUUCCAAAGGCUCUUACAGUCAAAUCUUGCACUUCUUACUUAACCAAUUAAGCACUCCUAAGUACACCAUGCUGUGAGACAGACUCAGGGAUUCAGACAUCUUACCUAAGAUAUCUUCUAAGCACACCUACAAACACACUAAAUUAGUCCAUGUGAAUGCCAGUGUCCUGGAGGAGUGGAGACAUGGAUUAUAAAUGUUUUUUUCUUCCCCAGUGUUUUUGAUUAAAGGAAAAAACCAAAUAACCACAGUUUUCGGCAGCUGAAGAGUACUUUGAGUUAGGAAGGAAGCGUCAGUAAAUUGACCUUGACAGACAUUUAUUCAGGAGUUCUUAAAAGUACAAGGAUUGUAAAUCUUAAUGUCCGUUUUCUCUUGCUAGACUGCUUUUUUCAGGAAAGGUGAAUGUUCUGCAUUUUGCUGGAGUGGGAGAGGGGUGUAGAAGGUUCAACUAGUCUGCCCACAAAACAGGAUUGAAUGGUCCAGUUAAAAUGUUAGAGACCAGCAAAUCUAUUUUACUACUACUGCAGCGCUGCUCUUUCGCUAUAUUUCGUACCACUAUGAUCAGUCUAAGGUUACCUGUUUCAUGUGUCAGGACACCCCUCCCGUCCCCCUUUUUUUUUAAAGGAGCAUGUUAGGGAUUGAUUCUACACUGCUCUGAAGUUUUGGAUUGGACUUUAAUGGGAACAGGAUCCAAUGUUCAUGACCUGAUCCAAAGCCCACUGAAAUCAGUGAAAAUACUCCUGUUAACUUUAACGGCCUUUGGAUCAAGCCCUUAUACAAUAUCACUGAAUUUUAUCCUAAUAUUCAGACUAAUUUUCCCUUUCUUUUUCUUAUCCUAUUAUACUUAUUUAUGUCCCCUUUUCCCAUGUUAAAUAAUAAUUUUCCAUUUUUGUUCACACUCUGCAGAUACCUGUAAAUCACAAAUGGUUGACAUUUCUUAGAGUUCUUAGGCAAAAAACAAGUAAAGU
Molecule: long non-coding RNA, 1594 nt
Organism: Gopherus flavomarginatus (Mexican gopher tortoise)
Lineage: Eukaryota; Metazoa; Chordata; Testudines; Testudinidae
Exons: 3
Source: RefSeq, a predicted model, not a curated record